ACCCACUGCUGUCAAUCUAUCUACCACUGUUAAUCUAUCUACUGCUGUCAAUCUAUCUAUUACUGCUAAUCUAUUGCUGCUAAUCUAUUACUGUUAAUCUAUCACUGCUAAUCUAUUACUGCUAAUCUAUUGCUGUUAAUCUAUUGCUGCUAAUCUAUCACUGUUAAUCUAUUAUCAUUAAUCUAUCUAUCACUGUCAAUCUAUCUACUGCUGUCAAUCUAUCUAUCACUGCUAAUCUAUCACUGCUAAUCUAUUGCUGCUAAUCUAUCACUGCUAAUCUAUCACUGCUAAUCUAUUGCUGCUAAUCUAUCACUACUAAUCUAUCACUGCUAAUCUAUUACUGUCAAUCUAUCUAUCACUGUCAAUUUAUCUACCACUGUCAAUCUAUCUACCACUGUCAAUCUAUCUAUCACUGCUAAUCUAUCACUGCUAAUCUAUUGCUGUUAAUCUAUUGCUGCUAAUCUAUUGCUGCUAAUCUAUCACUGCUAAUCUAUUGCUGCUAAUCUAUUGCUGCUAAUCUAUUGCUGCUAAUCUAUUGCUGUCAAUCUAUCUACCACUGUCAAUCUAUCUACUGCUGUCAAUCUAUCUAUCACUGCCAAUCUAUAUAGAAUAAAUCAUGAUUCCAUUUGGUUUCAUUUUGUAAAAUGAAAUUAAAUGAAAUCAGAAUCACUAAUUUAUUAGUAAAAUAUGAUCUGAGACUAGAUUUAUAAUAUAAACAGUGUAAAGUGACUAAUUUGCUAAACACUAUAUGAGAUCAGAACUAAGAUAUCUAAUAAUAAGACUGAGGAAAAAUUUGGUCCCAGUUUCAUGCAUGAUUACACAGUCAGUCUAGCCAUCAC
This 839-nucleotide small RNA is filed under the name Histoplasma capsulatum. RNAcentral describes it as "hypothetical RNA". Lineage: Eukaryota; Fungi; Ascomycota; Eurotiomycetes; Onygenales; Ajellomycetaceae. The record is from RNAcentral. RNAcentral also lists the same sequence under 1 other name.